RNAcentral lists this ribosomal RNA (119 nucleotides) under Thiomicrorhabdus arctica. The record is from RNAcentral. Lineage: Bacteria; Pseudomonadati; Pseudomonadota; Gammaproteobacteria; Thiotrichales; Piscirickettsiaceae.
UGCUUGGUGACAAUAGCGAGAUGGAACCACCUGAUCCCAUUCCGAACUCAGUAGUGAAACGUCUUAGCGCCGAUGGUAGUGUGGGAGUUCCCAUGUGAGAGUAGGUCAUUGCCAAGCUU